CGGGGUGUAGCGCAGCCCGGUAGCGCGCUUGCUUUGGGAGCAAGAUGUCGGGGGUUCGAAUCCCUCCACCCCGACCA
Molecule: transfer RNA, 77 nt
Filed under: Methyloversatilis universalis
Lineage: Bacteria; Pseudomonadati; Pseudomonadota; Betaproteobacteria; Nitrosomonadales; Sterolibacteriaceae
Also listed under: 23 other names
Rfam family: tRNA
About the family: Transfer RNA (tRNA) molecules are approximately 80 nucleotides in length. Their secondary structure includes four short double-helical elements and three loops (D, anti-codon, and T loops). Further hydrogen bonds mediate the characteristic L-shaped molecular structure. tRNAs have two regions of fundamental functional importance: the anti-codon, which is responsible for specific mRNA codon recognition, and the 3' end, to which the tRNAs corresponding amino acid is attached (by aminoacyl-tRNA synthetases). tRNAs cope with the degeneracy of the genetic code in two manners: having more than one tRNA (with a specific anti-codon) for a particular amino acid; and 'wobble' base-pairing, i.e. permitting non-standard base-pairing at the 3rd anti-codon position.
Source: RNAcentral